Molecule: ribosomal RNA, 253 nt
Filed under: uncultured bacterium
Lineage: Bacteria
Description: partial 16S ribosomal RNA
Rfam family: Bacterial small subunit ribosomal RNA
Source: RNAcentral
UACGUAGGGUGCGAGCGUUAAUCGGAAUUACUGGGCGUAAAGCGUGCGCAGGCGGUUUUGUAAGCCGGAUGUGAAAUCCCCGGGCUUAACCUGGGAAUGGCAUUCGGGACUGCAAGGCUGGAGUGCGGCAGAGGAGACUGGAAUUCCUGGUGUAGCAGUGAAAUGCGUAGAUAUCAGGAGGAACACCGAUGGCGAAGGCAGGUCUCCGGGCUGACACUGACGCUCAUGCACGAAAGCGUGGGGAGCAAACAGG